RNAcentral lists this long non-coding RNA (548 nucleotides) under Ananas comosus (pineapple). RNAcentral's name for it is "long non-coding RNA (ACOM_LNC002943)". The record is from RNAcentral. Lineage: Eukaryota; Viridiplantae; Streptophyta; Magnoliopsida; Poales; Bromeliaceae.
UGCACCUAUUUAAUUCAAUACCACAUCAUAGGCGUGUCAGAAAUUCUCGAGCUCGUCAAGAGAAGUGUUAAAUACAAAAAUAUGAAAACACCAUUCUCGAUCAAUUUAAACUUUUGAAGAAAAUAAUUGUUUCCCAUAUUUUAACAUGUUAUCAGAGCAGAAAGUUCUGAAUUUGAGUCACAUCAGGCUCCUAGCAUAAUUGAUUUCUUUUCAUUUAAUUCAAGUCCACAUCAUAUGCCAAUAAAAAAAAAUCAAGCUUAGACGUGAAAGAGAUCAAUGUUAAAUAUGAAAAUGUUGUUUUCUAUCAGUUUAAGCUUCUGAAAAAUAACGAUUAUGUCAUAUACUGCUAAUUACUUUUCUAAAAACACAUAAUCUUUUAAUGGUCCAAAAGAGUGGAGGAGACAGAGGUACUUAAGAUGGAGCAGUUCAUUAAACUAUCUCCAAGGAGGGAAGAUAUAUAAUUGAUGGAAAUUAAAGAGGAAUUAAAGGGUCUUUGGGUGGUGAGUAAUUGGGGGGCAUCAAAGGGGUGGGAAUUGGAACAGGUUGAA